Small nucleolar RNA from Gossypium raimondii (Peruvian cotton), 107 nucleotides. It matches the Rfam family "Plant small nucleolar RNA R71". Rfam says of the family: R71 is a member of the C/D box family of snoRNAs containing the C (UGAUGA) and D (CUGA) box motifs. Multiple nearly identical copies of this snoRNA have been identified in Arabidopsis, and it is thought to function as a 2'-O-ribose methylation guide for 18S ribosomal RNA. NCBI's taxonomy places the organism in Eukaryota, Viridiplantae, Streptophyta, Magnoliopsida, Malvales, Malvaceae. The record is from Rfam.
AACCCAUGGUGGGGGCACAUUCUCAAUAAAUCCUUGUACCUCUCCCAUGCAUCAUAUAGAGUCUCUAAAUCAAUCUGGACAAAGAAAGAGAUAUCAUUCCUCAACUU